This 253-nucleotide ribosomal RNA is filed under the name uncultured bacterium. RNAcentral's name for it is "partial 16S ribosomal RNA". It matches the Rfam family "Bacterial small subunit ribosomal RNA", at positions 524 to 776 of the family's 1533-position model. The record is from RNAcentral.
UACAGAGGGUGCGAGCGUUGUCCGGAAUCACUGGGCGUAAAGGGCGCGUAGGCGGCUUUCUACGCGUGCGGUGAAAGCCCGGGGCUUAACUCCGGGUCUGCCGUGCGAACGGGGAGGCUUGAGUCUGGUAGAGGUCGAUGGAAUUCCGGGUGUAGCGGUGGAAUGCGUAGAGAUCCGGAAGAACACCGGUGGCGAAGGCGGUCGACUGGGCCAGAACUGACGCUGAGGCGCGACAGCGUGGGGAGCAAACAGG